CCUCGCGUGGUGAAAUUACAAUCAUGCAGCGCUUCGAACGCUGUGUUGUGGGUGGGAGUCCCGCCGCGAGGUCCA
Molecule: transfer RNA, 75 nt
Filed under: Opitutus terrae PB90-1
Lineage: Bacteria; Pseudomonadati; Verrucomicrobiota; Opitutia; Opitutales; Opitutaceae
Description: tRNA-Arg-TCG-2-1
Rfam family: tRNA
About the family: Transfer RNA (tRNA) molecules are approximately 80 nucleotides in length. Their secondary structure includes four short double-helical elements and three loops (D, anti-codon, and T loops).
Source: RNAcentral